Molecule: ribosomal RNA, 2075 nt
Filed under: Cordylochernes scorpioides
Lineage: Eukaryota; Metazoa; Arthropoda; Arachnida; Pseudoscorpiones; Chernetidae
Description: 5.8S ribosomal RNA
Rfam family: Eukaryotic small subunit ribosomal RNA (bases 3-873)
Source: RNAcentral
ACCUGGUUGAUCCUGCCAGUAGUCAUAUGCUUGUCUCAAAGAUUAAGCCAUGCAUGUCUAAGUACACGCCCUAGCAAGGCGAAACCGCGAAUGGCUCAUUAAAUCAGUUAUGGUUCCUUAGAUCGUACACAUUUACUUGGAUAACUGUGGUAAUUCUAGAGCUAAUACAUGCAAUUGAGCCCUCGUCCCUUUUAGGGUGAGGGUGCUUUUAUUAGACCAAGACCAAACGGGGGCAACUCCGAUAGUCGUGGUGACUCUGAAUAACUAUGGCGGAUCGCACAGUCCUAGCACUGGCGACGCAUCUUUCAAGUGUCUGCCUUAUCAACUUUCGAUGGUAGGUUAUGCGCCUACCAUGGUUGUUACGGGUAACGGGGAAUCAGGGUUCGAUUCCGGAGAGGGAGCCUGAGAAACGGCUACCACAUCCAAGGAAGGCAGCAGGCGCGCAAAUUACCCACUCCCGGCACGGGGAGGUAGUGACGAAAAAUAACAAUACGGGACUCUAACGAGGCUCCGUAAUUGGAAUGAGUACACUCUAAACCUUUUAACGAGGAUCUAUUGGAGGGCAAGUCUAGUGCCAGCAGCCGCGGUAACUCUAGCUCCAAUAGCGUAUAUUAAAGUUGUUGCGGUUAAAAAGCUCGUAGUUGGAUCUCAGUCGCGCUCCCUUCGAUGCGUUGCAAAGCGUCUAUCGUUGGGGCCGACAGCACGUUGGUGGGCCCGGUUGGCUUUUACCGGUUGAUCGGGUUCUCCGGCAAUUUUACUUUGAAAAAAUUAGGGUGCUCAAAGCAGGCUGGUGCCUGGAUAUUGGUGCAUGGUGCACACACACACACACACAUACAUUCAUUUUUAUAUAUAUAGAAGAGCAUUAAGCCUCCAGGGAAAAGUUUCUUUUGAAACUUCUCUUCCAAUGACAUUUUCAUCGAGGUAAUAACAAAAAAAGGCUUCAUUAAGACAUUUUGGUCUUAUACAGAUUCUUCGAGAAAAAAUGUAGGGUACAUGCAGGAAUAACAGUAAUAGCACCAGUAAUCAACAACAACAAAAAGGCUUUAUUAAGACAUUUUAGUCUUAUACAGAUUCUUCGAGAAGAAAUGUAGGAUACAUGCAGGAAUAACAGUAAUAGCACCAGUAAUCAACAACAACAAAAAGGCUUUAUUAAGACAUUUAGAUCUUAUACAGAUUCUUCGAGAAAAAAUGUAGGGUACAUGCAGGAAUAACAGUAAUAGCACCAGUAAUCAACAACAACAAAAAGGCUUUAUUAAGACAUUUUAGUCUUAUACAGAUUCUUCGAGAAGAAAUGUAGGAUACAUGCAGGAAUAACAGUAAUAGCACCAGUAAUCAACAACAACAAAAAGGCUUUAUUAAGACAUUUAGAUCUUAUACAGAUUCUUCCAGAAUAAAUGUAGGAGAAGAUAGGAAGGUCUUAGCAUAAACUUCGAGGUAACUAUCAUGAUAUAUAGAGGAGGCAUAUUUAGAGGAGAAGGUGGGCUCUAAAAGAUAUCAUAAUUUGGAUAAAUUGAAAUCAGCAUUGGUGAGAGCAAUGAAAGAAAUACCCUUAGAAAAGGUGCGUGCCGCCAUAGAUCAGUGGCCCGAACGUUUGAGAUCCUGUGUCAAAAAUAAGGGAGGACAUUUUGAAUGAUUGUAUAUAUUUAAAAUCUAUGCCCUAUUGGCUAAUGUAUUUAUAUAUUCAAUUAGUUUUUGUUCUUAAUCAUUUAAUUUAUAAAAUUGCUUGUAACAGAAUUUAUGGCUAGACUGUGUAGAACGCCACCUAUUAUAAAGAAUUGUCUACAAGAGUUGUAGAAUGGUCAAUGGAAACUUGAUGGUGACUUAAUGUUCUUAUUUUGUGUUCUCUAUUGUUGUAUUGACAACAGAGUAUCGUUGUCAUUGACUUGUUAUUUAUCAUCACCAUACAUUGUAUAACCAAAUAAUGAGGUAUCAUCUUGUGUCACCUGCUUGCCUUUCCUUAAAUCAUUCAUGCCAUCGAGGAUAUGACAUUGGAUACGAGAAUAUAGUAAUGUCUUAUAAAGAGCAGUAAUUUUAGUCACAAGAAGUCCUAACAGAAAAAUCCCCAAAGUUUCUUA